RNAcentral lists this long non-coding RNA (697 nucleotides) under Nicotiana benthamiana. RNAcentral's name for it is "long non-coding RNA (NBEN_LNC003955)". Lineage: Eukaryota; Viridiplantae; Streptophyta; Magnoliopsida; Solanales; Solanaceae. The record is from RNAcentral.
AGAAGUUUCUUAGCCACUCGGCCUCAGAACCAGUUAACUCUCGAGCUACAAACUUUGAUUCCAUAGUCGAUCUAGUAAUGAUCGUCUAUUUAGCUGAUUUUCAUGAUAUUGCACCACCACCAAGGGUGAAUACAUAACCACUAGUGGAUUUUGUCUCAUCUGAAUUAGAGAUCCAGUUUGCAUUACUGUACCCUUCUAAAAUAGAAGAAAAUUCACUAUAUAGGAUACCAUAAUUCAUGGUGUCUCUCAAAUAUUUCAUUAGUCUAUCUAAUCCAGACCAAUGCUAUACCCUUCUAACGUAGAAGGAAAUCCACUAGGAUACCAUAAUUCAUGGUUCCUCUCAAAUAUUUCGUUAGUCUAUUUAAUGCAGACCAAUGUACUCUGUUGGAAUUAUGAGUAUAUCUACUCAGUCUACACACAUCAUAGGCUAUAUCAGGCCUUAUGAAAUUCAUUAAAUGCAUCAGACUCCAAAUAAUUUGAGCAUAUUUAGACUGAGCAACUGGGUCAACAUUAUUCUUUUUCAACUUAGAGUUAGAAUCAAAAAGAGUACUCACAGAUGUGAUAUUAAAAUAUUCACACUUCUUAAGAAGUCUCUCAACAUAAUGUUCUUGUGAUAACAUUAUGCCACCUUCACUCCUUAUAACUUUAACUCCCAAUAUCAUAUUUACUUCACCCAGAUCUUUCAUAUCAAAAUUAG